AUUCAGUACCGUCAGACAUCUGAAAAUUCUCAAAUAAGGUUAAAUGAUCCUGUAGCACGCAAACAUGGUUUGUUGAAAAAUGUUGGUGUACAUAAGAGUUCACAACUGUCUCCUAUCUCCAGAAUUCUGUAUAAGCAAGCUUUGUAUUACGAGAAGAAAGCUUCCAUACUCUCCAAACGGAAAAUGGAUUGACAACGUAAAAUCCAAACUAUCGAAAAAUGGUCAAAAGAAAAAUGCUUUCAAAAUUUGACCAAACAAUUUAACCAUCCUGCAGUUCACUUUUUCAAAAGACAGGUUGAAUCAUUUGGCAAAAAGGCUAAAGGUAGAAGAUUUGACAUUGAAGAUAAAUUUCUUGCCCUUGCCCUUUACAAGCAGAGUAACGCAGCAUACAAAUUACUAUCCUCUUUGUUUAUUUUACCUUCAAGAGUAACUUUACAAAAAGUGUUGUCAAGAAUUCCCAUUUCUUCGGGAAUUCAUGAUGCUGUUUUUAAAGUUUUAAGUUCAGCUAGUAAAAAAAUUAAACCCAACAAUAAGUUCUGUGUACUAAUGUUUGAUGAAAAGUCAGUUGAGCCUAAUUUACAUUAUAAUCAAUUUCUGGAUGAGGUUGAUGGCCUUGAAGAUUUUGUCGGGGAAAAGUUUGAAAAAAUUGCAAAUUAUGUUCAGGUAAGGCAGCCAUAAAUACGUCAUAUACCGGGUGACCACUAGAUUACUACCCAAGCUCUAGCUUAGGCACGAAAAAAGAUAUCGAUUUAAAAUUUUUGGCAUGCGUAUCAUUGAAUUUGAUGCAAAAUUUAAUAAAAACAACUGACCGCCACUUCCUAUUUGACCGAAAAUGCCAUAAACUUUGUUAUUUCAUAUGGAACUCCUUGUAUAUUAUUUUUGUUUUCAAUUCUGCUGAAGAAACUAACACUAAAAUAUGUAUUAUGUCCUAUACCUAUCUUUGUCAGUUUCCGAGAAAAUUGCGCUUUAAAAUGGCUAAUUUGUCAUUUAUAAAAUCCUUUUGAAAGAAAACAAACGAAGAAAGGGACAAAGUUAUAUGGUAUCUUUAACUUAUUUUAGAAGUACUAAAGUCUGAUAUCAUAAAAAUGUUGCACUUCCGGCACAUCCGGAAUAGAUAUUUUAAUGAAACGAAAAAAAUAUUUAAAAAGAAAUGAUAAUAUAUCCAAAGCUUUAUAAAAAAUGUUUUUUAUAUUGCAAGAGGGUACACACUUAAAAUAGAAUCUUUAUUUUAUAAGAUUUGUAUGCAAGAUCACAUAUAAAUAAAAUACUUAUAAGGUUUGUUCCAACGGUUGCGGUUGCAGGUAGUUUGUGAAUUGUCAAUUUCCGCAGUUGAUUGUUGUGAUCUUUUAAAAUAUACAUUUUAUCUUAAUAAUAAUGAGUACUAACAUUUUGAAGUGAAAUAAUACUUUUUAUCGGAUUUGUUAAUAUAUAAGCUGAUACAAUUUAAUAUCUAGAGAUAUUAGUAGAUA
This is a long non-coding RNA of Anoplophora glabripennis (Asian longhorned beetle), 1469 nucleotides long. RefSeq lists it as uncharacterized. The transcript has 2 exons. Lineage: Eukaryota; Metazoa; Arthropoda; Insecta; Coleoptera; Cerambycidae. The record is from RefSeq and is a predicted model, not a curated record.